Molecule: long non-coding RNA, 2050 nt
Filed under: Homo sapiens (human)
Lineage: Eukaryota; Metazoa; Chordata; Mammalia; Primates; Hominidae
Description: non-protein coding lnc-XKR5-10:1
Source: RNAcentral
AGCUGAUUUCCUCCUUUGCAUACCCUGCUGGGCACCAGUGGAACAGUGAAAGGUGAAUUCUGUCUAUGCCUUCCUUGUACAACAUUUAACAAGGAGUUACCUGUGGGAUGAAAAGGGGACAUUCUUGGUUCUCUGGGAGCAUAUAUCAAGGCAAUCUAAUUUAGUCUGGAGACAAGGAAGACUUCUCAGUGAAAUGGUAUUUCAGGUGAAGCUUGAGGGACUUAGUGGGCUUUCCAUGGGAGAAUGGCACAUUUGAACGCCUGAAGCUGAGAAAUCACCAUAUUCUCAUGCAUAGCACUGGAGUGGGCCACAGUGUUCUUUUUAAAAUUUGUUGAGAUGCCCCUUGAAAGAAUGCUGUGUAUUCCCAUCACACAUUCUUAAACUGAUAUUUAAAUGUUUUUCUCAGCUGGGCAUGGUGGCCUAUACCUGUAAUUCCAGCACUUCAGGAGGCCAAGGAGGAAGGAUCACUUAAGCGCUUUGUAGAGUGAGGCCUCCAUCUCUACAAAUAUAUUUUUUUAAUUAGCUGGGUGUGAUUGUGCAUGCCUGUAGCCCCAGCUACUCAGGAGGCUGAGUCUGAUAAGGAAUUGUAGGCAAAAAAAAAAAAAAGUUACAAGAAAUGCAUCUCUUAAAUAAGUUAUCUCUGUUGGUGUCCUAAGGUUUAUUACACCUUUCUACCUCAGCAGGGCAGCACAAUGUAGUAAGAUUUAGGAUGUGCCAGGGGGGAGAGGAGCCAUUAUGAAAUGCCAGGUGGGCCUGGACUGCAGGAGUCCUCAGACAGAUCACUUUUAGAAGAGUUGGGAUCUGAAAACUGAAUCCCUUGAAACUCCUCAUGACCACGUGUCCAUAUUCUCAGGGAUACGCAUGCCUCCAUUUGAAGAUUGUUUUUACAGAAAUAAUUGGGGUAAGGAAAGGAGACAAGGAUGCUAGGGAUUGAGUCUGGAAAGAUAGGCAAGAACCAGAUGACAGCAGGGUCUUGGGGGACACAUAAGGAUUUUAGAAUUUAUCCCAAAGGACAGGGAAGCUACUGAGAUUUUAAGGAGAGGAGUGACAUGCUUAUAUUUGAUCUUUUUAAAAGUUGUUCAGGCAUUGUGGAGAGUAUAUUUUAAACAGUUUGGAGACUAUAGCUAGACUCCCAGCUAGAAAGGAUGAUGGUAGCUUAGCCUUUGGUGGUGACCAUGUAGAUAAAACAAGAAGGCAUUCCUGUUAUAAAAAGUGUAAGCAAUCCUAUGUUUUGAAUAUUGAAUGAAAUGUGGACAUUUCCCUCAUGCCGCACCCAAUCCCACUUUCUUACCCAGAGGUUACAGCUAUCUACUUACGCAGUAGAUGCUUGGCAAUCCUUUGCCCCUUCCCUCCUUGAGGUGACUAAGAUGGUCAUGCAGACAAGCCACCCCUCCCAACAGAACCCAUGUGAUCUAGGGGGAAGCUGACCCCACCCAUAAUGGGCCACCAUCAGUCUAGGGCUGUGUUUUUUUGACGUGUGGACCUUGAAGCCUUCAGGCUCCUCAAGAUGCUUUCAGCUGGUCCAAGGGAAAAAUGUUUUCACAGUGAUACUGAGACAUCAUUUGCCUUUUCACUAUUAGAUUUACAGUGGUGAUGCAAAAGCAGGGGUAGGUAAAUCCACUAGCACCUCACUGAGAGUAAGGCAAUGACACAGAAAGUUACCUACUAGUGACCAUCAUGUUCUUCAUCACAAUGUGAUCAUGGACCUUAGACUCUAUGUGAGGGAAUCUGUGUGCCAUGCUAAGUCCCCGGCACACUGCCGCUGUGUGGAUGCACAUGGGUGCUUUCCCAAUCCUUCCCACUCAUGGGAGGUGCCCCUAUAACCAUGCAAUGGGUUCAUCUUGCCUGCUGCCAAGAUAGAGCUGAUUUAUCAAGACGGGGAUUGCAAUAGAGAAAGAGUUUAAUGUCAUGCAGAGCCAGCGGAAUGGGAGACCAGAGUUUUAUUAUGCAAAUCAGUCUCCCUGGAAGUUCAGAGGCUACAGUUUUUCAAGGAUAGUUUGGGUGUUGCUGAUUUGUUGGGGAUGCAAUCAUAGGGGUGUGGAAAAUGGUC